Molecule: non-coding RNA, 41 nt
Filed under: Trypanosoma brucei brucei
Lineage: Eukaryota; Euglenozoa; Kinetoplastea; Trypanosomatida; Trypanosomatidae
Source: RNAcentral
AACAACCAUACAGAAAUCGUAUAUGUGAGAGAAGUGAUAUU